RNAcentral lists this ribosomal RNA (317 nucleotides) under uncultured eukaryote. RNAcentral describes it as "partial 18S ribosomal RNA". It matches the Rfam family "Eukaryotic small subunit ribosomal RNA", at positions 1470 to 1796 of the family's 1831-position model. The record is from RNAcentral.
CCCUUAGAUGUUCUGGGCCGCACGCGCGCUACACUGAUCAGUGCAACAAGCAUCCGUCCUUGGCCGACAGGCCCGGGCAAUCUUUGAACGCUGAUCGUGAUGGGGAUAGACUUUUGCAAUUUUUGGUCUUCAACGAGGAAUUCCUAGUAAACGCAAGUCAUCAACUUGCAUUGAUUACGUCCCUGCCCUUUGUACACACCGCCCGUCGCACCUACCGAUUGAAUGGUCCGGUGAAGCCUCCGGAUUGGCGUGCACCCUCGGGUGCUGCCGAGAAGUUGGUUAAACCUUACCAUUUAGAGGAAGGUGAAGUCGUAACA